RNAcentral lists this ribosomal RNA (497 nucleotides) under uncultured bacterium. Its description in RNAcentral is "partial 16S ribosomal RNA". It matches the Rfam family "Bacterial small subunit ribosomal RNA", at positions 28 to 507 of the family's 1533-position model. The record is from RNAcentral.
GAUGAACGCUGGCGGCGUGCCUAAUACAUGCAAGUCGAGCGAACAGAUGAGGAGCUUGCUCCUCUGACGUUAGCGGCGGACGGGUGAGUAACACGUGGAUAACCUACCUAUAAGACUGGGAUAACUUCGGGAAACCGGAGCUAAUACCGGAUAAUAUAUUGAACCGCAUGGUUCAAUAGUGAAAGACGGUUUUGCUGUCACUUAUCGAUGGAUCCGCGCCGCAUUAGCUAGUUGGUAAGGUAACGGCUUACCAAGGCAACGAUGCGUAGCCGACCUGAGAGGGGGAUCGCCCACAUUGGAACUGAGACACGGUCCAGACUCCUACGGGAGGCAGCAGUAGGGAAUCUUCCGCAAUGGGCGAAAGCCUGACGGAGCAACGCCGCGUGAGUGAUGAAGGUCUUCGGAUCGUAAAACUCUGUUAUUAGGGAAGAACAAAUGUGUAAGUAACUAUGCACGUCUUGACGGUACCUAAUCAGAAAGCCACGGCUAACUACGUG